Molecule: unclassified non-coding RNA, 447 nt
Filed under: uncultured fungus
Lineage: Eukaryota; Fungi
Description: partial internal transcribed spacer 1
Rfam family: Bacterial small subunit ribosomal RNA
Source: RNAcentral
CCUACGGGGGGCUGCAGUCGAGGAUCUUCGGCAAUGGGCGCAAGCCUGACCGAGCGACGCCGCGUGGAGGAUGAAGGCCUUCGGGUUGUAAACUCCUGUCGAGGGGGAUCAAGGGGCAACCUUGAGUGAUCCCUGGAGGAAGCACGGGCUAAGUUCGUGCCAGCAGCCGCGGUAAGACGAACCGUGCGAACGUUGUUCGGAAUCACUGGGCAUAAAGGGCGCGUAGGCGGCUUUUCAAGUCAGGGGUGAAAUCCGGCAGCUCAACUGUCGAAGUGCCCUUGAUACUGAUGAGCUCGAGGGAGGUAGGGGUGUGUGGAACUUCCGGUGGAGCGGUGAAAUGCGUUGAUAUCGGAAGGAACGCCGGUGGCGAAAGCGACGCACUGGACCUCUUCUGACGCUGAGGCGCGAAAGCUAGGGGAGCAAACGGGAUUAAAUACCCUGGUAGUC